Molecule: long non-coding RNA, 2559 nt
Filed under: Homo sapiens (human)
Lineage: Eukaryota; Metazoa; Chordata; Mammalia; Primates; Hominidae
Description: HSALNT0322974
Source: RNAcentral
AAAUUUCAAAAAGGCCAGAGUGGGGUCCAUAGAAGAGCAGAAGCAAUGAGUUGGAAGGACUUCUGUGCACCUCUAUUAGUCCCACUGCAUGGAAUCCUUAGGGUGUCAUAAUGAGGGACUCCAAUGAAAGAAUGAAAGAAUCUCUGAAGUGUUGAUUGGCUGUUUCUGGAACUUGGCCCAAGUUCCUACUACAGAUGUACCAUGUCCACUUUUCUCAGAAUUCAAGUUUCCUGGUUGGUUUUUUUCUCAUCCAAGAAUCUAAGAAGAGUCCAUAAAGAAGGCUGACAACAAAUGAAUGGAGAAAACACAAGCCCCAAAGCCUGCAGCACAGCCAGGGACCCUCUGUGAGCUGAGUCUGUGAGUUAGGGACCAGCUCUCUUCUCCAUGAAGCCUGCCCUGAUUCUCCCCAGAGGGAAGGCUGGCCCCCUUUUCCAAACUCCCACUACAUUUUGUCCAAACGAUGUUGGAAGCCACUGGGACUCCCCAAGAACAAUAUCCAAGUUGAAGACACCUUUUGCCACCCCCGCCAGUGGACAUGGAAGGAGUGCCGCACACACCCGCCCUGAAUGCAGAAGCAGCAGAGUUCACCCCAAGGAUUUCACCAAGCACUAGUGUUCCUUGUUUUGCUUGUUUUUGAUGCCUAAAGAGCCAACAAGUGACUAACAGACUGUUGUUCAUGGAUUGUCUAAAGUCAGCCUUCUAAUAGCACCCGAAGGGCUCCUCAUGCUGGUGCAACCCCGCUGCCACUGCUCCUGAGCCUAUGUUCCCUUCUCUCCACCAUGCACCUUCUGACAUCAUGACUCACUGGAGAACCAGGCCAGGAUCCCAACCACCCCGUGUCUCAGUGGGCCUGGGCGGGAGCCCUGUGCUGCCAGGAGGAGCAGAGAUAACAUUGAUUGUCCAGAAGCUCUACGAUGGAGACAGGUUGUCAUUGGAAGUCCAACAAGAGACAGAGGCAAGUGAGCUUUAUGGAGCACCUACUGUGUGCCAGGCCCCAUGCAACGGGCUUCUGUGGAGGCCUGCCCCUGCCAUCUUCACAACCCUCAGGUGAGCCAGCUUUAGCUUUACAUUUUAUAGAUGAAAAAAGCUGAGAGUUGAUGAGACUAAGAUACUAUUUGUGAGACCAAAAGAAAGAGGAAAAUCUCAUUUAAUCUCCAGGAUUUGUUAAAUUAGGCAAAGACAAGAAGGAACUUUUAUGUGAGGACAGACUGAAGUCCUGGCAUUUUCCAGCUCAGAAAGUCUGAGAAAGGAUAUGCUCAAGAACUAUCACAUGAAGGAAGAGCUCCUGCUUGACCGUGAGCUGGGCCGUCAAAUCCCACAUCCUCAUGGGGACUCGAUGCAGCCUGGAUAGCAGGGUGGUAAGACUCUCUGCUUCCUGAGCACAGGGUCUACCCUCCUCUUGUGAACUCUGUGUCCUUCACCAAGUCAUUGAACCUCCAUCUGCUUCCUCACCUGUUUAAGAAAGGAUGAUCGUAAUAGGACCCACAUCAUAGGGUUUUGUUAAGGGCUAAAAGAAAAAUAUGUAAAGCGCCUUGCCGAGUGCCUGGUACUACAGUAAGGAUUUGAUAAAUAUUAGCUGUUACAGUAAUUAGGAGUCAUAUUUUAUACCCUACAAGAGGCAUUUGUAGAUCAAAAGAAAUCUCACAUUACAGGGUGGGAAGUAAACUCACUAAACAUAGCCCCAAGGGUGGCACAAACGGAAAAUAUAAAUAGAAUAAAAAAGGGUUAGAUCACGAAUGGGUAACCUUUUCUCUACCAUAAGCCAGUGACACACAGGGGCAAAAAGAAAAUCCAUUUCUGGCCCCAUGUAAGUCAAAGAAGCCAUUAUAGGCUGUGAAGGGAAUUCAAUUAGUCACUGGUUGCCAUGCCAAUGCAAACAUCACCCUUCCACCUACUCUACCAUCAACACAUUUGAAUAAGUAACAAUGAUAAUAGCAUGCACUAAAAAUGCUAUUUUUAAAAAAGUUACAUGUGCUUCUUUCAAAAGUCUGGUUUUCAGAAAUAAUUGCUAUAGUCCAGAUGAGAAUUCACAUGGAAUCCCUAAAAUGGGUUGAGUAUCAUCAGAGAAGAGACAUCUGUAGAUUAUUAAGGGACUCUUAGGGUUUGGAGUUGAUUUUCUUGUGGGGGAGGGGAAAUUUUUUCAACAUUCCAAGCUUGAUCAAGCAACCCUUCAUGGUGUCAGAAAUUGAGCUCAGACAGUCCCUUGCUCAGCACUGCUCUCCUCACACCCUGAAGCCUGACCUGGAUCCCUGGUUUCAUUAUGCCUUCUUCAAGCUUUGCUUGAGUAUCUACAAUUUGGCAAUGUGUACCUAAAACUUAAAAAAAUACUUUGAUCUAAGAAUUUACUUAAAAAAAUACUUUGACCUCAGAAUCAAUCCUAAGAAAACCAAUACUGAUAUACAGAAUUUAUAGGAGCAAAAAUAAAAGUAAAGAACAGAAAUAACCAAAAUGUCCAAAUUAAAUUGUUAUACAUCCAUAUGCUAGAAUAUGAUGAGCUAUUAAAAAUGAGGCUGUCAUAAAAAUGAAUGAGAUCAUGUCCUUUGCAGGCACAUGGAUGGA